This 2900-nucleotide ribosomal RNA is filed under the name Klebsiella pneumoniae. RNAcentral's name for it is "bacterial LSU rRNA". It matches the Rfam family "Bacterial large subunit ribosomal RNA". The record is from RNAcentral. Lineage: Bacteria; Pseudomonadati; Pseudomonadota; Gammaproteobacteria; Enterobacterales; Enterobacteriaceae.
UUAAGCGACUAAGCGUACACGGUGGAUGCCCUGGCAGUCAGAGGCGAUGAAGGACGUGCUAAUCUGCGAAAAGCGUCGGUAAGGUGAUAUGAACCGUUAUAGCCGGCGAUGUCCGAAUGGGGAAACCCAGUGCAAUUCGUUGCACUAUCGUUAACUGAAUACAUAGGUUAACGAGGCGAACCGGGGGAACUGAAACAUCUAAGUACCCCGAGGAAAAGAAAUCAACCGAGAUUCCCCCAGUAGCGGCGAGCGAACGGGGAGCAGCCCAGAGUCUGAAUCAGCUUGUGUGUUAGUGGAACGGUCUGGAAAGUCCGACGGUACAGGGUGAUAGUCCCGUACACCAAAAUGCACAGGUUGUGAACUCGAAGAGUAGGGCGGGACACGUGGUAUCCUGUCUGAAUAUGGGGGGACCAUCCUCCAAGGCUAAAUACUCCUGACUGACCGAUAGUGAACCAGUACCGUGAGGGAAAGGCGAAAAGAACCCCGGCGAGGGGAGUGAAAAAGAACCUGAAACCGUGUACGUACAAGCAGUGGGAGCACCUUCGGGUGUGACUGCGUACCUUUUGUAUAAUGGGUCAGCGACUUAUAUUCUGUAGCAAGGUUAACCGUAUAGGGGAGCCGCAGGGAAACCGAGUCUUAACUGGGCGUUAAGUUGCAGGGUAUAGACCCGAAACCCGGUGAUCUAGCCAUGGGCAGGUUGAAGGUUGGGUAACACUAACUGGAGGACCGAACCGACUAAUGUUGAAAAAUUAGCGGAUGACUUGUGGCUGGGGGUGAAAGGCCAAUCAAACCGGGAGAUAGCUGGUUCUCCCCGAAAGCUAUUUAGGUAGCGCCUCGUGAACUCAUCUUCGGGGGUAGAGCACUGUUUCGGCUAGGGGGUCAUCCCGACUUACCAACCCGAUGCAAACUACGAAUACCGAAGAAUGUUAUCACGGGAGACACACGGCGGGUGCUAACGUCCGUCGUGAAGAGGGAAACAACCCAGACCGCCAGCUAAGGUCCCAAAGUCAUGGUUAAGUGGGAAACGAUGUGGGAAGGCACAGACAGCCAGGAUGUUGGCUUAGAAGCAGCCAUCAUUUAAAGAAAGCGUAAUAGCUCACUGGUCGAGUCGGCCUGCGCGGAAGAUGUAACGGGGCUAAACCAUGCACCGAAGCUGCGGCAGCGACACUAUGUGUUGUUGGGUAGGGGAGCGUUCUGUAAGCCUGCGAAGGUGUGCUGUGAGGCAUGCUGGAGGUAUCAGAAGUGCGAAUGCUGACAUAAGUAACGAUAAAGCGGGUGAAAAGCCCGCUCGCCGGAAGACCAAGGGUUCCUGUCCAACGUUAAUCGGGGCAGGGUGAGUCGACCCCUAAGGCGAGGCCGAAAGGCGUAGUCGAUGGGAAACAGGUUAAUAUUCCUGUACUUGGUGUUACUGCGAAGGGGGGACGGAGAAGGCUAUGUUAGCCGGGCGACGGUUGUCCCGGUUUAAGCAUGUAGGCUGAUUGUCCAGGCAAAUCCGGAUAAUCAAGGCUGAGGUGUGAUGACGAGGCACUACGGUGCUGAAGUAACAAAUGCCCUGCUUCCAGGAAAAGCCUCUAAGCAUCAGGUAACAUUAAAUCGUACCCCAAACCGACACAGGUGGUCAGGUAGAGAAUACCAAGGCGCUUGAGAGAACUCGGGUGAAGGAACUAGGCAAAAUGGUGCCGUAACUUCGGGAGAAGGCACGCUGGUGUGUAGGUGAAGUCCCUGCGGAUGGAGCUGAGACCAGUCGAAGAUACCAGCUGGCUGCAACUGUUUAUUAAAAACACAGCACUGUGCAAACACGAAAGUGGACGUAUACGGUGUGACGCCUGCCCGGUGCCGGAAGGUUAAUUGAUGGGGUUAUCCGUAAGGAGAAGCUCUUGAUCGAAGCCCCGGUAAACGGCGGCCGUAACUAUAACGGUCCUAAGGUAGCGAAAUUCCUUGUCGGGUAAGUUCCGACCUGCACGAAUGGCGUAAUGAUGGCCAGGCUGUCUCCACCCGAGACUCAGUGAAAUUGAACUCGCUGUGAAGAUGCAGUGUACCCGCGGCAAGACGGAAAGACCCCGUGAACCUUUACUAUAGCUUGACACUGAACAUUGAGCCUUGAUGUGUAGGAUAGGUGGGAGGCUUUGAAGCGUGGACGCCAGUCUGCGUGGAGCCAACCUUGAAAUACCACCCUUUAAUGUUUGAUGUUCUAACGUUGGCCCCUUACCGGGGUUGCGGACAGUGUCUGGUGGGUAGUUUGACUGGGGCGGUCUCCUCCCAAAGCGUAACGGAGGAGCACGAAGGUUAGCUAAUCCUGGUCGGACAUCAGGAGGUUAGUGCAAUGGCAUAAGCUAGCUUGACUGCGAGCGUGACGGCGCGAGCAGGUGCGAAAGCAGGUCAUAGUGAUCCGGUGGUUCUGAAUGGAAGGGCCAUCGCUCAACGGAUAAAAGGUACUCCGGGGAUAACAGGCUGAUACCGCCCAAGAGUUCAUAUCGACGGCGGUGUUUGGCACCUCGAUGUCGGCUCAUCACAUCCUGGGGCUGAAGUAGGUCCCAAGGGUAUGGCUGUUCGCCAUUUAAAGUGGUACGCGAGCUGGGUUUAGAACGUCGUGAGACAGUUCGGUCCCUAUCUGCCGUGGGCGCUGGAGAAUUGAGGGGGGCUGCUCCUAGUACGAGAGGACCGGAGUGGACGCAUCACUGGUGUUCGGGUUGUCAUGCCAAUGGCACUGCCCGGUAGCUAAAUGCGGAAGAGAUAAGUGCUGAAAGCAUCUAAGCACGAAACUUGCCCCGAGAUGAGUUCUCCCUGAGACUUUAAGUCUCCUGAAGGAACGUUGAAGACGACGACGUUGAUAGGCCGGGUGUGUAAGCGCAGCGAUGCGUUGAGCUAACCGGUACUAAUGAACCGUGAGGCUUAACCUU